RNAcentral lists this ribosomal RNA (466 nucleotides) under uncultured bacterium. Its description in RNAcentral is "partial 16S ribosomal RNA". It matches the Rfam family "Bacterial small subunit ribosomal RNA", at positions 28 to 507 of the family's 1533-position model. The record is from RNAcentral.
GAUGAACGCUGGCGGCGUGCUUAACACAUGCAAGUCGAACGGUCAAAGAGAGCUUGCUCUCUUGUUCAGUUGCCAACGGGUGAGUAACACGUGAGCAAUCUGCCCCUGACUCUGAGUUAAGCGCUGGCAACGACGUCUAAUACCGGAUACGAGAUGCUAAGGCCUCCUCAGCAGCUGGAAAGAACUUCGUUCAGGGAUGAGCUCGCGGCCUAUCAGCUAGUUGGUGAGGGAACGGCAACCCAAGGCCUCGGCGGGUAGCCGGCCUGGGAGGGUGACCGGCCACACUGCGACUGAGGCACGGCCCAGACUGGUACGGGAGGCAGCGGUGGGGAAUAUUGCACAGUGGGCGAAAGCCUGAUGCAGCAACGCCGCGUGAGGGACGACGGCUUUCGGGUUGUAAACCUCUUUUUGCGGGGAUGUAGCCAAAGUGACGGUACCUGCAGAAAAAGCACCGGCUAACUACGUG